ACGUAGGUGGCAAGCGUUGUCCGGAUUUACUGGGUGUAAAGGGCGUGUAGGCGGAGCUGCAAGUCAGAUGUGAAAUCUCCGGGCUUAACCCGGAAACUGCAUUUGAAACUGUAGCCCUUGAGUAUCGGAGAGGCAAGCGGAAUUCCUAGUGUAGCGGUGAAAUGCGUAGAUAUUAGGAGGAACACCAGUGGCGAAGGCGGCUUGCUGGACGACAACUGACGCUGAGGCGCGAAAGCGUGGGGAGCAAACAG
RNAcentral lists this ribosomal RNA (251 nucleotides) under uncultured bacterium. RNAcentral's name for it is "partial 16S ribosomal RNA". It matches the Rfam family "Bacterial small subunit ribosomal RNA", at positions 525 to 775 of the family's 1533-position model. The record is from RNAcentral.